CGCGUGGGGGCACGAGGUUUUUGGAUCGUAAACCCCUUUUGUCAAGGAAGAAGCUCUGACGGUACUUGACGAAUAAGCCUCGGCUAACUCCGUGCCAGCAGCCGCGGUAAUACGGAGGAGGCAAGCGUUAUCCGGAAUGAUUGGGCGUAAAGUGUCUGUAGGUGGCCAGCUAAGUCUGCUGUUAAAGAUCACAGCUCAACUGUGGGAAGGCAGUGGAAACUGGCAAGCUAGAGGUUGGUAGGGGUAAAGGGAAUUCCCGGUGUAGCGGUGAAAUGCGUAGAUAUCGGGAAGAACACCGGUGGCGAAAGCGCUUUACUGGGCCAGACCUGACACUGAAGGACGAAAGCUAGGGGAGCGAAAGGGAUUAGAUACCCCUGUAGUC
This 382-nucleotide ribosomal RNA is filed under the name uncultured cyanobacterium. RNAcentral's name for it is "bacterial SSU rRNA". It matches the Rfam family "Bacterial small subunit ribosomal RNA", at positions 398 to 795 of the family's 1533-position model. Lineage: Bacteria; Bacillati; Cyanobacteriota. The record is from RNAcentral.